Molecule: transfer RNA, 56 nt
Filed under: Triticum aestivum (bread wheat)
Lineage: Eukaryota; Viridiplantae; Streptophyta; Magnoliopsida; Poales; Poaceae
Also listed under: 1 other name
Rfam family: tRNA
About the family: Transfer RNA (tRNA) molecules are approximately 80 nucleotides in length. Their secondary structure includes four short double-helical elements and three loops (D, anti-codon, and T loops).
Source: Rfam by way of RNAcentral
ACUUAGUUGGUAAAGCACAAAGCUCUUAACCUUGUGGACGUGGGUUCAAACCCCAU